UUAAACUGAAGAGUUUGAUCAUGGCUCAGAUUGAACGCUGGCGGCAGGCUUAACACAUGCAAGUCGAGCGGAGUUGUGGUGCUUGCACCAUAACUU
RNAcentral lists this ribosomal RNA (96 nucleotides) under Acinetobacter sp. ANC 3903. Its description in RNAcentral is "partial 16S ribosomal RNA". It matches the Rfam family "Bacterial small subunit ribosomal RNA", at positions 1 to 93 of the family's 1533-position model. The record is from RNAcentral. Lineage: Bacteria; Pseudomonadati; Pseudomonadota; Gammaproteobacteria; Moraxellales; Moraxellaceae.